This 1193-nucleotide long non-coding RNA is filed under the name Brassica rapa (field mustard). RNAcentral describes it as "long non-coding RNA (BRAP_LNC005819)". Lineage: Eukaryota; Viridiplantae; Streptophyta; Magnoliopsida; Brassicales; Brassicaceae. The record is from RNAcentral.
UUCAAUCAAAAGUAUUCUUACAAUUCUGGAACAAACUAACCAGCAAACUCAAAAAAAAACACUAGUAAGCAUCCAUAGACUAAUCUCGUACAAAUGUGGGUAAGAAGUAAAUUUUAAAACCCAAAAAUAUCAUGAGAUCGUGAGAGUGAGAGUGAAAGAGAUAGAGUUAGACUCUCAAAGCAAGAACAACAUAGAUGCUUUUAAACCUCUCUCGUUGUGAUGAAAGACCACCUCUCUCCAAACAGACAACCCUUCCAUCACAAAAAACCAUGGCUUCACAUUCCGAAAAGCUAAGACCUAUUGAUCUUCAUAAAACUUCUGAAUACGGAGAACUCUGGCAACCUAUGACACAACAAAUAAACGCAUAGAUUACCAUCAUGAAACAAGUGGCAAGGCCUAACCACUCAACUACAAGACCUGAACAUUGAUGAGUGGCAACAAAGAACUUAAGCUGGCACACAAGAAAAGGUCAUUAUGUUUAUGUUGCAAAAUAACUAAGUCGGCAAGGUCAGUGUAAUAGUUCCACAACCCCACCAAAACCAUCACACAAAGAAAUCCAAAGGCAGACCCAUGGAGCGCCAUUGUCACUAUCUGAACACUGAAGGCCAAACUUCAAAGGUCAGAGACCAACUUGUAAAGAGAAAGAUAUUAUCAUUGCUUUGUAGGAGCUCUUAAUAAUACAGCGUAGAAGAGAGCCAUGGUUGGCGGAGACCACCACCAACAACCAGAAAAAUAGUCCAACUCAAAAUUCAGAAUCAAACGGGAGAAUGACGGAUCACCAAGAGAAUACACAACCUGAAUACUGUAGAGAAACAAAAAACUAGAUUGGAAACAACCAGAGACCUCUCAAUGGACUCCAAGUACCAGCGAGAACCACCAUUCAUAAUGCUGGAGCCAACUAGAGACUAAACAGGGAAAGGAUCCAAGACACCUUAACUGCUCUAACCUCCUAGAAGAACACUAGAAACUGCAUCACCGAAACCAUCAACGCCACAAAUAGAGGACGCCGCAAGGAAAGAAGAGGAAAAGAAGACACCCCAUGAUACAGAAGAGAUAGAGGAAGAAGAGCCUCCUCGGCAGAUGCCAAACCACCGGGAGGCUGUGGCGGAUCUGAGAACGAAGUCUUGGAAAGGGUCUACUUGUUUUGUUUAUUACUUGCUUAUGUAUAUAGCAUACGUGAGACGUUAUGUGAG